Molecule: ribosomal RNA, 432 nt
Filed under: uncultured Syntrophaceae bacterium
Lineage: Bacteria; Pseudomonadati; Thermodesulfobacteriota; Syntrophia; Syntrophales; Syntrophaceae
Description: bacterial SSU rRNA
Rfam family: Bacterial small subunit ribosomal RNA
Source: RNAcentral
AAUUCGAUGCAACGCGAAGAACCUUACCUGGGCUUGACAUCCCCGGGAAUCCCCUGGAAACAGGGAGUGCCCUUCGGGAACCCGGUGACAGUGCUGCAUGGCUGUCGUCAGCUCGUGUCGUGAGAUGUUGGGUUAAGUCCCGCAACGAGCGCAACCCUUGUCUUUAAUUGCCAUCAUUUAGUUGGGCACUUUAAAGAGACUGCCGGUGUUAAGCCGGAGGAAGUGGGGAUGACGUCAAGUCCUCAUGGCCUUUAUGCCCAGGGCUACACACGUGCUACAAUGGGCGGUACAAAGAGAAGCAACCUCGCGAGGGUGAGCAAAUCUCAAAAAGCCGUUCUCAGUUCGGAUUGAAGUCUGCAACUCGACUUCAUGAAGUCGGAAUCGCUAGUAAUCGCGGAUCAGCAUACCGCGGUGAAUACGUUCCCGGGCCUU